Drosophila pseudoobscura is the source of this 1835-nucleotide RNA transcript. It is a transcript of the gene named acyl-coenzyme A diphosphatase Fitm, with no coding region annotated. The transcript is spliced from 4 exons. The record is from RefSeq and is a predicted model, not a curated record. NCBI's taxonomy places the organism in Eukaryota, Metazoa, Arthropoda, Insecta, Diptera, Drosophilidae.
GCGGGACGUCGUCAAUACCUGUGCAACUGUUCUAUUUUUUACGGGGGCGCAACAGCUGCGCGCACGUAGAUUUUUGGUUGGAACGUAUGUCAGGGCGAAAAACAACUAGGAGCAACGACAGUGGAUACCAUAACUGAUGUGACAGUGGAUAUAAAUAUCACUGAAAUUAAUGAAAUCCACUUUCGAACAGUGCAUCGAAGCAUAACCAAAAACGGCAGCAACAACGCAUUUCCCACCUUGACCAAGUGCAAACCCCAGCGCCGCAAGACAGCAACAAGCGUCAACGAAAUCUAAAUCGAAUUAUGGCCACCAAACGGCGACCGCUGCGUCCGAACAUUGGAACAAGUUCUGGAUCAAACAUGAACUUUCGACCUGGGGGUCCGGACAUAACUCGGUCCGAGGCUAGGGGCACUAGACCUACAGCAGCCCCCACUAGUAUCCGAGAGAUUCUAGUCAUGGGAGUAAUACAUUUGUGUAAGAAAACGAUAUUCUUCAACACGGACCUCAAGGUGGCACUCUACUUGGGCAGCCUGUUCGUGGUAUCGGUCAUUGGGGACUUUGUCCCCUUCCCAAAGACCUACUUCGCGCGCUCGGACAAUCUAUUCAACAUGUACUUCGUGAAGGUAGGCUGGGGCUGGACUCUGCUGUUUGUGGUGCCCUUCCUAGUUCUGUCUGCCUAUACGAUCACCUGCGGCGAUCACAAGCGAAUGCUCAGGCAUCACUUCCCUCGCAUUGUCAUAGCCACAUUCUUUUGGUUUUUCUGGACGAAGCUCUUCAACAUUGUGGAAACUUCCUACGGCCGCUGCACGGUCAAAAGCUUCCAGAGCAAGCCGAGCUGCCUUAAGGCCGGACAUCUGUGGCAAGGCUUCGACAUAUCAGGCCAUGCUUUCAUCCUGAUUCACUCUAGUCUGGUGCUCAUCGAGGAGGCCCGUCCCAUCAUCAAGUGGGAGACCAUCAAGGAGCACCUCCGCAACGAGAUGCACAAUCGCAGCGUUUCCGAAAAUGCGGGCACCAAUCCCCUUCGAGGCCUGAACGACGAGCAGAUGAGGAGCCUGCAGUUCCUCUACAAACGACUAACGCCCAUCAUCCGGACCCUGUUCAUCGGCAUGGCCGCUCUGCAGCUGCUCUGGGACAUAAUGCUGGUGGGAACCAUGCUCUACUACCACCGCAUGAUUGAGAAGGUCAUCAGCGGCAUUAUAGCCAUCCUGACCUGGUACUUCACGUAUCGCUUCUGGUAUCCCACGCGCGGCCUCUUGCCAGAAGAGCCCGGAAACGGCACCUUCUUCUACCAGAGGGAGACCCAUGUCUUUCCUUUCAAGCGUCCCUCGCAUUUAUCUGGUACGACCUCCGCCAGUGGAGCCUCUGGCCCCAUGAGAGCAAAUCCCAAUGGGAAAGUGGGAGCGACGAAUGUGCCCAAGGAUCAGCAGAUGCCAACAUUCAUGGGCAUGCCAUUGUUCACCAGCCCGAAGGUGGCCACUGCCGCAGCAAGCUUGCUUCAAUCAGCGCAGCAGAAGCGAGAGCAGCAACAGCAGCAGCAGUUUGGAGCAGAUAGCUGAGCCCCAAAGGACGAUCCCCGUCAAAUCAUCGUCCCCGGAGGCGUAAACAAGCAUAGCAGGAAUUGACAAUUAGCAGCUAGACACUGGCUGGCACAUGGUUCAUCCCUCUUCUCUUCUCCUCUACUUUCUCUUCAUCAUCCCAUACCCCUGCAUCAGCAUCAGCAUCAGCGUCAGCCAUCUGGUUACCACGUAGUAGCUUUAAGCGUUAAGCGUUUAGCGUUCUUAUGUUCGUGCGUUUAUAUGUGACCAACUUUAACAGUAAAAGGAUUUGUUAACAAA